This 301-nucleotide ribosomal RNA is filed under the name uncultured bacterium. Its description in RNAcentral is "partial 16S ribosomal RNA". It matches the Rfam family "Bacterial small subunit ribosomal RNA", at positions 509 to 809 of the family's 1533-position model. The record is from RNAcentral.
CAGCAGCCGCGGGAAUACGUAGGGUGCGAGCGUUAAUCGGAAUUACUGGGUGUAAAGCGUGCGCAGGCGGUUAUAUAAGACAGAUGUGAAAUCCCCGGGCUCAACCUGGGACCUGCAUUUGUGACUGUAUGGCUAGAGUACGGUAGAGGGGGAUGGAAUUCCGCGUGUAGCAGUGAAAUGCGUAGAUAUGCGGAGGAACACCGAUGGCGAAGGCAAUCCCCUGGACCUGUACUGACGCUCAUGCACGAAAGCGUGGGGAGCAAACAGGAUUAGAUACCCCCGUAGUCCCUGUCUUUUAUAA